Long non-coding RNA from Biomphalaria glabrata, 1622 nucleotides. RefSeq lists it as uncharacterized. The record is from RefSeq and is a predicted model, not a curated record. Lineage: Eukaryota; Metazoa; Mollusca; Gastropoda; Planorbidae. The transcript is spliced from 3 exons.
AUUGAUGCGUGUGUACGUAACCACUCUGUCCACUGUGUUGCUGUGUAGUUUACAUAGACAGAAAGAUUUCUUUUGAAACAAAUAGAAUCUUCAUCUAAAUAUGAUUUAGACUUUUCAAAAUAUUCAUCAUGGAUUAAAACUCUAGAUCUACAAAGGUGAACAAAUGUCUCGUUUUGUAAAGGAUCUAGAUUAGAUCUAGCACUACUAGUAACUAGCAGAUAUGCUUUCCGAUUACCAAAAGAUGAUGAAUGGUGGCUUAGAAAGAAAAAAUGGCCAGCGGUAAUACCUUUGGCUUAGUAGAAGGAUUAGAUCUACGUACCAUUAAAGGAGUACUCUAAAAUCUGCCAUUAACAUUUUCAAGACGAAGUAUCAUGGACAGUAUUGAAGGAUUACGUACUAUAAAGGAAUACUCUAAAAUCUGCCGUUAACAUUUUGAAGACGAUGAAGUAUUGUGGACUAGCUACUACACAUGAAAGAGUAGAGAGUGCAUUAAAAAAGUGUUAAGUCUCAGGAAGUCGCAGGAUGGCUGCCUGGUCUUGUGGUUUACGCGCUGGACUGUCGUUUGGAUUUAUCGAUGUCUCUGGUUCAAACCCUGCCCGCUCCCAUCCCCUGUCGUCAACUCUGAAGGAACAUCCGAAACAUGUCAAACAUAUAAGGAUAUAAUAGUAAAAAAAACAUAUCAGUGAUUUCAGUGAAUUUCAAGAUAGUGUAAGAAAUAUAAAUGUGUCUUCGUUUUGGAUGUUCUUGGUCAAGCUACUUCUUAAAACUGUAGCCUACAUUUAUGAAAUUACUAAUUUGUUAGAACUCAUAGAACAAUAUUCUACAAAAAAUUUUACCAACAAUACUAAUAGUUUUUAAAUGCUAUUAAAGAAAACACUAAGUACACAAAUAAAAAAAAUGACAAUGAAAUAAAUAUAUUAAAUUGACUUAAACCAAACAGGACUAAAUAAGAAGACCAUGUCACUUUUUAUGGACUAUCUAAAUUAAGUAUUGUUUACCAACAUCCUGCAGAUUCCUGCUUAUAUAAGUUAUUGACCAUGUACACUACAUAUAUUUAAAGGUUUAAGAUACAGUGGGAUAAAUCAAAAAGAUGAAAAUAUUUCUUUUAUCUUUCCUAAUUUUAAUGAUUCAUCAAAACAUCAUAAAGGUUCUCUGUAAGUCUAACUGUUAGAUGUUAUAUUAUGGGUAAUUAUCUUGUUUUUUGAAGUAACUUGUGUAAUCUAUAAGAUAAGAUAUGUUGCUGGUUAUUGUGUUCAUGUGGUUCUAAAGAACUUUAAUGACUGCAUGACUGGGGAUGGGAGCGGCCAGGGUUUGAACUUGGGACCAUCAAUAAAUCUAAGCGACAGUCCGGAGCGCAAGCCGCUCCACCAGGCAGCCAUCCAUAUAUAUAUAAUAUAUAAUUUAAAUAACAUUAACAUUAUAUGAGCAAACCGCUUGAACAGGCAGCCAUCCAUAUAUUUAAAUCACAUUAACAUUAUAUGUAAUCAUUGUAUUUUUAAAAUGUGUAUUGUAAAUUAUUGAAAUUUUUUUUUUCCAUAUGUUCAUUAAGCAAUUGCAAUAAAAACUUAACUCAUUAAAGUGGUAUCCUUUGUCUGCAAAUAAAAUUGCUAUAUAACACCACA